Molecule: long non-coding RNA, 143 nt
Organism: Zea mays
Lineage: Eukaryota; Viridiplantae; Streptophyta; Magnoliopsida; Poales; Poaceae
Exons: 2
Source: RefSeq, a predicted model, not a curated record
GGAGAAUGGCUCACUUUCCAAUAUUAUCAAGCCAAACAAAUUCGGACCUAUUCCUGAAUCUUUGGUGGCUCUUUACAUUGCUCAGGUGUUGGAAGGUCUUGUUUAUCUGCAUGAACAAGGUGUCAUUCAUAGAGAUAUCAAGG